GACGAACGCUGGCGGCGUGCUUAACACAUGCAAGUCGAACGGAAAGGCCCUGCUUUUGUGGGGUGCUCGAGUGGCGAACGGGUGAGUAACACGUGAGUAACCUGCCCUUGACUUUGGGAUAACUUCAGGAAACUGGGGCUAAUACCGGAUAGGAGCUCCUGCUGCAUGGUGGGGGUUGGAAAGUUUCGGCGGUUGGGGAUGGACUCGCGGCUUAUCAGCUUGUUGGUGGGGUAGUGGCUUACCAAGGCUUUGACGGGUAGCCGGCCUGAGAGGGUGACCGGCCACAUUGGGACUGAGAUACGGCCCAGACUCCUACGGGAGGCAGCAGUGGGGAAUAUUGCACAAUGGGCGGAAGCCUGAUGCAGCAACGCCGCGUGCGGGAUGACGGCCUUCGGGUUGUAAACCGCUUUCGCCUGUGACGAAGCGUGAGUGACGGUAAUGGGUAAAGAAGCACCGGCUAACUACGUGCCAGCAGCCGCGGUGAUACGUAGGGUGCGAGCGUUGUCCGGAUUUAUUGGGCGUAAAGGGCUCGUAGGUGGUUGAUCGCGUCGGAAGUGUAAUCUUGGGGCUUAACCCUGAGCGUGCUUUCGAUACGGGUUGACUUGAGGAAGGUAGGGGAGAAUGGAAUUCCUGGUGGAGCGGUGGAAUGCGCAGAUAUCAGGAGGAACACCAGUGGCGAAGGCGGUUCUCUGGGCCUUUCCUGACGCUGAGGAGCGAAAGCGUGGGGAGCGAACAGGCUUAGAUACCCUGGUAGUCCACGCUGUAAACGGUGGGUACUAGGUGUGGGGUCCAUUCCACGGGUUCCGUGCCGUAGCUAACGCUUUAAGUACCCCGCCUGGGGAGUACGGCCGCAAGGCUAAAACUCAAAGGAAUUGACGGGGCCUCGCACAAGCGGCGGAGCAUGCGGAUUAAUUCGAUGCAACGCGUAGAACCUUACCUGGGUUUGACAUGGAUCGGGAGUGCUCAGAGAUGGGUGUGCCUCUUUUGGGGUCGGUUCACAGGUGGUGCAUGCCUGUCGUCAGCUCGUGUCGUGAGAUGUUGGGUUAAGUCCCGCAACGAGCGCAACCCUUGUUCACUGUUGCCAGCACGUUAUGGUGGGGACUCAGUGGAGACCGCCGGGGUCAACUCGGAGGAAGGUGGGGAUGACGUCAAGUCAUCAUGCCCCUUAUGUCCAGGGCUUCACGCAUGCUACAAUGGCUGGUACAGAGAGUGGCGAGCCUGUGAGGGUGAGCGAAUCUCGGAAAGCCGGUCUCAGUUCGGAUUGGGGUCUGCAACUCGACCUCAUGAAGUCGGAGUCGCUAGUAAUCGCAGAUCAGCAACGCUGCGGUGAAUACGUUCCCGGG
Molecule: ribosomal RNA, 1343 nt
Filed under: uncultured bacterium
Lineage: Bacteria
Description: 16S ribosomal RNA
Rfam family: Bacterial small subunit ribosomal RNA
Source: RNAcentral